ACGGGUGAGUAAUGUCUGGGAAACUGCCUGAUGGAGGGGGAUAACUACUGGAAACGGUGGCUAAUACCGCAUAACGUCGCAAGACCAAAGAGGGGGACCUUCGGGCCUCUUGCCAUCAGAUGUGCCCAGAUGGGAUUAGCUUGUUGGUGAGGUAACGGCUCACCAAGGCGACGAUCCCUAGCUGGUCUGAGAGGAUGACCAGCCACACUGGAACUGAGACACGGUCCAGACUCCUACGGGAGGCAGCAGUGGGGAAUAUUGCACAAUGGGCGCAAGCCUGAUGCAGCCAUGCCGCGUGUAUGAAGAAGGCCUUCGGGUUGUAAAGUACUUUCAGCGGGGAGGAAGGUGUUGUGGUUAAUAACCGCAGCAAUUGACGUUACCCGCAGAAGAAGCACCGGCUAACUCCGUGCCAGCAGCCGCGGUAAUACGGAGGGUGCAAGCGUUAAUCGGAAUUACUGGGCGUAAAGCGCACGCAGGCGGUCUGUCAAGUCGGAUGUGAAAUCCCCGGGCUCAACCUGGGAACUGCAUUCGAAACUGGCAGGCUUGAGUCUUGUAGAGGGGGGUAGAAUUCCAGGUGUAGCGGUGAAAUGCGUAGAGAUCUGGAGGAAUACCGGUGGCGAAGGCGGCCCCCUGGACAAAGACUGACGCUCAGGUGCGAAAGCGUGGGGAGCAAACAGGAUUAGAUACCCUGGUAGUCCACGCCGUAAACGAUGUCUACUUGGAGGUUGUGCCCUUGAGGCGUGGCUUCCGGAGCUAACGCGUUAAGUAGACCGCCUGGGGAGUACGGCCGCAAGGUUAAAACUCAAAUGAAUUGACGGGGGCCCGCACAAGCGGUGGAGCAUGUGGUUUAAUUCGAUGCAACGCGAAGAACCUUACCUGGUCUUGACAUCCACAGAAGAAUCCAGAGAUGGAUUGGUGCCUUCGGGAACUGUGAGACAGGUGCUGCAUGGCUGUCGUCAGCUCGUGUUGUGAAAUGUUGGGUUAAGUCCCGCAACGAGCGCAAC
RNAcentral lists this ribosomal RNA (1004 nucleotides) under Salmonella enterica subsp. enterica. Its description in RNAcentral is "bacterial SSU rRNA". It matches the Rfam family "Bacterial small subunit ribosomal RNA", at positions 102 to 1102 of the family's 1533-position model. Lineage: Bacteria; Pseudomonadati; Pseudomonadota; Gammaproteobacteria; Enterobacterales; Enterobacteriaceae. The record is from RNAcentral.